Molecule: small nuclear RNA, 161 nt
Organism: Suncus etruscus (white-toothed pygmy shrew)
Lineage: Eukaryota; Metazoa; Chordata; Mammalia; Eulipotyphla; Soricidae
Product: U1 spliceosomal RNA
Exons: 1
Source: RefSeq, a predicted model, not a curated record
AUACUUACCUGGCAGGGGAGAUGCCAUGAUCAUGAAGGUGGUUCCCCAUGGCGAGUCUUAUCCAUUGCACUAUGGAUGUGCUGACUCCUGCGAUUUCCCCAAAUGUGGGAAACUCGACUGCAUAAUUUGUGGUAGUGGGGGACUACAUUUGCUCUCUCCCC